This 2762-nucleotide ribosomal RNA is filed under the name Escherichia coli. RNAcentral describes it as "bacterial LSU rRNA". It matches the Rfam family "Bacterial large subunit ribosomal RNA". Lineage: Bacteria; Pseudomonadati; Pseudomonadota; Gammaproteobacteria; Enterobacterales; Enterobacteriaceae. The record is from RNAcentral.
ACACUAUCAUUAACUGAAUCCAUAGGUUAAUGAGGCGAACCGGGGGAACUGAAACAUCUAAGUACCCCGAGGAAAAGAAAUCAACCGAGAUUCCCCCAGUAGCGGCGAGCGAACGGGGAGGAGCCCAGAGCCUGAAUCAGUGUGUGUGUUAGUGGAAGCGUCUGGAAAGGCGCGCGAUACAGGGUGACAGCCCCGUACACAAAAAUGCACAUGCUGUGAGCUCGAUGAGUAGGGCGGGACACGUGGUAUCCUGUCUGAAUAUGGGGGGACCAUCCUCCAAGGCUAAAUACUCCUGACUGACCGAUAGUGAACCAGUACCGUGAGGGAAAGGCGAAAAGAACCCCGGCGAGGGGAGUGAAAAAGAACCUGAAACCGUGUACGUACAAGCAGUGGGAGCACAGAGCAAUCUGUGUGACUGCGUACCUUUUGUAUAAUGGGUCAGCGACUUAUAUUCUGUAGCAAGGUUAACCGAAUAGGGGAGCCGAAGGGAAACCGAGUCUUAACUGGGCGUUAAGUUGCAGGGUAUAGACCCGAAACCCGGUGAUCUAGCCAUGGGCAGGUUGAAGGUUGGGUAACACUAACUGGAGGACCGAACCGACUAAUGUUGAAAAAUUAGCGGAUGACUUGUGGCUGGGGGUGAAAGGCCAAUCAAACCGGGAGAUAGCUGGUUCUCCCCGAAAGCUAUUUAGGUAGCGCCUCGUGAAUUCAUCUCCGGGGGUAGAGCACUGUUUCGGCAAGGGGGUCAUCCCGACUUACCAACCCGAUGCAAACUGCGAAUACCGGAGAAUGUUAUCACGGGAGACACACGGCGGGUGCUAACGUCCGUCGUGAAGAGGGAAACAACCCAGACCGCCAGCUAAGGUCCCAAAGUCAUGGUUAAGUGGGAAACGAUGUGGGAAGGCCCAGACAGCCAGGAUGUUGGCUUAGAAGCAGCCAUCAUUUAAAGAAAGCGUAAUAGCUCACUGGUCGAGUCGGCCUGCGCGGAAGAUGUAACGGGGCUAAACCAUGCACCGAAGCUGCGGCAGCGACACUAUGUGUUGUUGGGUAGGGGAGCGUUCUGUAAGCCUGUGAAGGUGUGCUGUGAGGCAUGCUGGAGGUAUCAGAAGUGCGAAUGCUGACAUAAGUAACGAUAAAGCGGGUGAAAAGCCCGCUCGCCGGAAGACCAAGGGUUCCUGUCCAACGUUAAUCGGGGCAGGGUGAGUCGACCCCUAAGGCGAGGCCGAAAGGCGUAGUCGAUGGGAAACAGGUUAAUAUUCCUGUACUUGGUGUUACUGCGAAGGGGGGACGGAGAAGGCUAUGUUGGCCGGGCGACGGUUGUCCCGGUUUAAGCGUGUAGGCUGGUUUUCCAGGCAAAUCCGGAAAAUCAAGGCUGAGGCGUGAUGACGAGGCACUACGGUGCUGAAGCAACAAAUGCCCUGCUUCCAGGAAAAGCCUCUAAGCAUCAGGUAACAUCAAAUCGUACCCCAAACCGACACAGGUGGUCAGGUAGAGAAUACCAAGGCGCUUGAGAGAACUCGGGUGAAGGAACUAGGCAAAAUGGUGCCGUAACUUCGGGAGAAGGCACGCUGAUAUGUAGGUGAAGCGACUUGCUCGUGGAGCUGAAAUCAGUCGAAGAUACCAGCUGGCUGCAACUGUUUAUUAAAAACACAGCACUGUGCAAACACGAAAGUGGACGUAUACGGUGUGACGCCUGCCCGGUGCCGGAAGGUUAAUUGAUGGGGUUAGCGCAAGCGAAGCUCUUGAUCGAAGCCCCGGUAAACGGCGGCCGUAACUAUAACGGUCCUAAGGUAGCGAAAUUCCUUGUCGGGUAAGUUCCGACCUGCACGAAUGGCGUAAUGAUGGCCAGGCUGUCUCCACCCGAGACUCAGUGAAAUUGAACUCGCUGUGAAGAUGCAGUGUACCCGCGGCAAGACGGAAAGACCCCGUGAACCUUUACUAUAGCUUGACACUGAACAUUGAGCCUUGAUGUGUAGGAUAGGUGGGAGGCUUGGAAGUGUGGACGCCAGUCUGCAUGGAGCCGACCUUGAAAUACCACCCUUUAAUGUUUGAUGUUCUAACGUUGACCCGUAAUCCGGGUUGCGGACAGUGUCUGGUGGGUAGUUUGACUGGGGCGGUCUCCUCCUAAAGAGUAACGGAGGAGCACGAAGGUUGGCUAAUCCUGGUCGGACAUCAGGAGGUUAGUGCAAUGGCAUAAGCCAGCUUGACUGCGAGCGUGACGGCGCGAGCAGGUGCGAAAGCAGGUCAUAGUGAUCCGGUGGUUCUGAAUGGAAGGGCCAUCGCUCAACGGAUAAAAGGUACUCCGGGGAUAACAGGCUGAUACCGCCCAAGAGUUCAUAUCGACGGCGGUGUUUGGCACCUCGAUGUCGGCUCAUCACAUCCUGGGGCUGAAGUAGGUCCCAAGGGUAUGGCUGUUCGCCAUUUAAAGUGGUACGCGAGCUGGGUUUAGAACGUCGUGAGACAGUUCGGUCCCUAUCUGCCGUGGGCGCUGGAGAACUGAGGGGGGCUGCUCCUAGUACGAGAGGACCGGAGUGGACGCAUCACUGGUGUUCGGGUUGUCAUGCCAAUGGCACUGCCCGGUAGCUAAAUGCGGAAGAGAUAAGUGCUGAAAGCAUCUAAGCACGAAACUUGCCCCGAGAUGAGUUCUCCCUGACUCCUUGAGAGUCCUGAAGGAACGUUGAAGACGACGACGUUGAUAGGCCGGGUGUGUAAGCGCAGCGAUGCGUUGAGCUAACCGGUACUAAUGAACCGUGAGGCUUAACCUU